Molecule: small nuclear RNA, 86 nt
Gene: U4
Rfam family: U4 spliceosomal RNA
About the family: U4 small nuclear RNA (U4 snRNA) is a component of the major U2-dependent spliceosome. The structure of U4 snRNA from yeast and human has been reported.
Source: Ensembl
AGCUUUGUGCAGUGGCAGUAUCGUAGCCAAUGAGGUUUAUCCGAGGCACGAUUAUUGCUAAUUGAAAACUAUUUAUUCUGAGAGAG